Molecule: long non-coding RNA, 235 nt
Filed under: Mytilus galloprovincialis (Mediterranean mussel)
Lineage: Eukaryota; Metazoa; Mollusca; Bivalvia; Mytilida; Mytilidae
Source: RNAcentral
CAAUUAUUAUUAUGAUGUAGCCUCCCAUGUAUCCGUAGUAUAUCGAGCUAGUGUAUCUGAUCUGACAUUGGUGUCAUUGGUCCGUAUUAAUCAUACUUUAGUUUGCAAUUUCAUCGUGUCUGCAUCAUUUUUUUCAGUUUUAGUUUGGUGUAAUGUCAAUCAAAAUCUUAUUGUAGUCUGUUGUCCGGAUCUUCAUAUGAAACAUUUUAAGAUAAAAGUAAAAAAUCACGAGAAC